CCAAAUAAUAAUUCUCCAACAAAGACACAGAGGAGCUUUGCAGAGGGAGGUGCCAGUUAGGACAAUUAACAGUUCCCUUCUGCUGCGGGGAUGCUUACACAGCACCCAACACUCAAGCGAGGUUUGGCCAACCAACUCAUUUCAGAUUGAUUUUUGUGUAUUUUGGAGGCUGCUGCCUCAUUUUGGAGGCGUAGCCUGGGAGGCUGCAGAGGAGGAGCCCGCCCAUGACUGGCAGGCAAGGGGCCAGCUCUGCCCGGCAGCCCAUGGGUGCCUCACGAGAGAGUCAUGGCGCUGCCCGGCCUGCUGGGCCCUCAUGGGCAUGCCUGUGGCUCCCAAAGUGGUGGGGACUGGUGUCCCAACACCCAGUAGCUGUCACUGCCAGACAAAAACGUACCAGCCUCUGAAUGUGACUGGGAACACCGCAUUGUUGCAAGCCAGAGGCCUAUUUUGGGCUAAUCUGCGAGAUGAGGCGACACGCUUGUUCUUGUGCAGGAAGAUUCCAUUGCCGAUAAACAUCAGUAUAUCUUUUUUAGCACAACGAGCUAAGCAUGAGAGAAGACAACUAUUUAUAAAUACCCUUAGGGGUAAAUAUCAAGCAGAGAAACUGUAGGAGUUAAAGGUUAAUGCUAGCCUGGGAUCAAAUGGGUAUAAAUUAAUCAUGAAUAAGCGCAGACUGGAAAUGAGAAGACCGUUCACAGUAAUGUGAGGAGCAAAACUCUGCAGCAAUUGGAGAGAGGCCUGAGGAGCUGGCAGAAGGCUUGUGCACCCCAACAGAAGUUUCCGAAGACAGAAAAUCGCUUUUUCCUGGGGAUCCCUGGGGGUUCGGUGAGCUCCCCUCACCUGGGGGUGCCUCCCCUCCCUGGACCCCUGUGUGACCGAGUGCCGGGGGUGAGCAGACCGCCUGCUGAUGGACCAGACCUGUGCUCGGUGAUCUUGGUGGAAAACAGGUGUGUACAAUUUCUGUUUUACUAAGGGUGGCUGUGGAUGGUGCUGGGACAUGUGCCCCAUUCACAGGCCAGCUCUGCCUGCUGUCCCUGCUCACUGACUCGGCAAGCGGGGCUUCUGCCAAGGGACUGGCUGCAGUGUGUGGGCAAACAGAAUGCCUAGAAGGUCCAAAUAAAUAACAUGUUCAUCUGUCUGCAAGACAGAAGAUGCGGUCGUAGGUUGACUGUGUCUUAUUUUCCUUAUAAUGCCUAUUUUCCUAAUAAAUACCAGUCCCUGUGGCAUUAUAGAUGGGCUGAGACAGAAACUGCCCAGCUCUCCUGUUUACUUUAUGGAUUCCCUCAGUUCCCUGCUGGCAGCUUCAGGCCAGUUUCAACUAUUUCUCUCAGCUGUAUCACAUCACAGUAUUUCUGUGGGCUCUCAAGAAACCACCCUGCACUCUCGAGGUCAUCCUCCUCUCUUGCUGGUACAUAGUGUAAGCCAAGAAUAUUUAAAGCAUGAUUUUGUAUUAUAUCAAGCUGCUCUAGAAAGCACUCUGCACUGAUUAACAGGUAAUUAUGGAAGACAAGUUUCACACAGUUCCCAGAUUGCCUAGUAUCCAGUGCUCUGCUGGAAUAAGCUGGUGCCUUGCUAGUGGCCUGCUGACACAGCAACAGCACGCUGGGUCCCUGAUGGGCUUUGGGGAAUGUGUUGGACAAGACCCAUAAAGCUGACAGUGAGCUUUCUUCAGAGCCAUUUUAGUACUCUGUCAGUUAGUGAUGGGAAACAACCCUGGCAGAAGGUUGAAAAUGCAGGAGGCAAACAUCCACUUUUUGGAGCUGCAGGCGUCCAGGACAAGGUUUGUCUGCUCCUGUGUGCCUGCCCAGGGGGACCCCAUGGUAUGGGGCAAUGUGAAGUACAAAUAAUUAACAAAAUACAGUGUUUCUUGUUCAGCUAGAGUACCUGUAGUAGGAGAAGACUGACAGAUGGAUUAGCCCACGUGUCAUUCAUAUUGAGCCCCAUUAAGGUACUAAGGUUUUCCUGCCUACUGAUCUUGAUUUCUGUUCUGAGAGAAGAUGUUUUUCUGAUAUAUAUUCUGAUACAUGUUCUCCUUAAUAACAGACUGAAUAGUCAGAGGAUCUUCAAUGAAAUAAGACACCAGAAGAAUGCCGCAAGUACAGGAUAAACGACGUUUUGAGUGCUAAGUUGAACAUUCUUUGAGGCUACUGGGCUGGCUUAACAUCUUAUCAGCAAGAUGCUUGGACCACAGGACGCAGCUGAGCAGCAUGCACUGAAGCAGUCCCAGCUGUCCUGCCCAGGUUCCCACGUGUGUACGGCACAGGGAAAGUGAGGAGCUGCAAGCUGAAGGGCUGCAAAGGAGGAAGGAGAAGAUGCCAUGACGAGCACAUAACGGCAGCGCCAGGCGGCACACGGCUCUGCAGCAAGGUGUCGAGCGAGAGGCAGCAGCUGUUCGUGAGCCGUGGCAAACGUCACGCGUUCACGUUCACAGCCCAGGUGGCUGCUUGCAGGAUGCAGCAGCAGCGAAGCCAUCCGCUGGGCCAGGAGCACCAGGCAGCAUGCUGGAGCUUGGCACGGAGCUCUGUCCAGAGGCUGUUGUGAACCGCGAGCGUGCUGGCUGCAGCACAGCAGAUUGCAAAACAAAAACAAACAAAAAAUCUGGAAGCUUUCUUUGUGGAAAUGAGACAUUUCACCAAAAAAAAGUGCCUCAUGGAGAUGGAUCUGUUAUGAUGUUAAACUAUGGGUGAAAAUUUUGGGGACGGGGGCGAGAGCCAGCCCCCUGUCUCAGAUUCAGCAUAUAUGCGACAUCAAAGCAUUUCAGUGAAUUCUUCAUUCCAUUUACAUGCCAGCUCUCUGGUGAUGGAGUCAGACGUGUCGUGGUAGUCCUGCAAGCCGUAAAGCCAUCCAGCUUUUCUGCCACUGCUGCAGUUCUCAUUGCUGUAAGUACUGACCACUGGGGGACUGAUCCUCAAACAUCAAAAAACCUUUCUUUGAUGACCUACUGUUUUAAAGAGGGCAAUAGGACCAGCAUGUUUUCUCCUUAAAGAUAAAACGACAGCCAUUGUCUGUGUGCUAAGAAGGAACCAAUAGUUAUUUUCAACUUCAAUUUGUUCUGUGCAUUGUGAAAAAAGCUGAGUAAUUCUAUUCUCAUUUAGGAGAAGACUACAGGGGAGAGAAAUAUAUUUCUGAUAUAUUUUAGAGACUUUUCUAAAGAACAGGCUGUCACAGUGCGGUAUCCCACACCAAUGAAAACCUUUUCCCCAGGAUUGUCAGUUGUGCCUAGUUCUCCACCAAGUAUAUUGUCAUGGAUAUUUGCACUAAACUGAGAGUUAUCCAGCAUGAUACUUCUGAGAAUUCAGAUUAGCCUCAGUACUGAGCUAAGGAAGUCAUGAAGGCAGUCUGCAUCAUAGUGAUAUUAUGAUUGCUCUGAAACAGCGACGUAUCACAUAUCUGUGUUUUCAUUCUGCCAGAGACAUAUUUUCAGAAAGGCAGUUUCUGAUGACAUGUUUGGGCAAAUGAUGCCUUAUCUGCAUGUUUUUUUAUGUAUCAUCCUGAUCUGGUAACUUGAAUGCCAUAAGGAGAAAGCUAUGUUAAUUGCACAUGUUUUUAAGUCAUCGCAGUCCAAAACACAUGCCUCAAAACUAUGUGCCUCAGAAAGUCUGGUCACUUGUUUGAGAAGCCGGAGAUGUUCUGCCUCUGUUAGAGGAAUCAGGGAACUUUUUUAUAACAAGAAUCUUCAGGCAUGAUAAUCUUAGCCUUGUGGAUAUUGUAUAUUUCUCCUGCCUAAAAAUAAAAACCACUAAGUAUAUGAGCUGCUACUGUAAAUACAAGCACGAGUAAAAGCGUUCGUCUGUUGCCAGACUCCUCCUCCCACUUGAUUUCAGUAGUCAGCAAAAAUACUUAUUCAGUAUUAAGUUACAGAAAAGGAUUGUUGACCCUGGUAUAAUGGAGAGCUAAGAUAAAGUCAAGUCAAUGAAGUUUGCUUCAGCUUGCAACAUUUCAAAUAAAGCUUCUACAUUUGUUUGGCUCUUAAAAAUUAAACGAUAUAGAAAAUAUUAGUUAAAAGUGAAAGUGCAGAUAGUCUACAAGUGUUUUUCAUAAAGUAAUUUUAAUUGAGAUGCUCACAGCUGAGUUAGCAUUAUUUGCUGCUAAUUUAGGUUUCAUUCUAAAUAGUGUAUGUUAACAAACUUGGACCACUUAAUGCUAAGUGCUUUACAUUUUUCUCUUUAAUUAAAUUUUGCCAAAGAACUAUGUUACAUAAGCAUGUGCCCUUACAAAGAGCACACUCUCAGAGCCUGGUUAGAGAUCAGGUGCCCUUGCAGCAACUAGUGGUUUCCUACUGAUCUCACUGGAGACAGGAUUUUUCUCUUUACCCUGUACUUUUUUUGUAUAUAUGGGUCCUAAAAGUUAUUUGAUUACUUAAUACACAGGUUCUUGGGUACAUUACUCUAAGAAACUUAUUUUAAUGAGCUCCAGCCUGUCAUUUACCAUUUCUGUUAUUAGAUAAAAACAAGCCUUACUUCAGAGUUCAAACUUAUAUAUUCCAGCAAUUACAAACAUAUUUGAAAUACGACAACAGAUGCCAGUUUAGAUAAGUUUCUAGUCUGUGGAUGGAGGUAGGCAUUUGCUGCAAUAAUCUGCAGUUUUACUGCAGAAUUCGAGAAUUGCCUGGAGAGAGCUCUGGGAGAAUUGUGUACAAUUUCGGGGUUCUUUUUACUGUACAGUAAUCUAGUACAGGUGGUUCAGACAUGGAAGUGGCAUAAAAAUAAAGAAAAUUUUGAAUAAUCUUUAAGGUCAGUAGUAUAAGAUCUAGGCAUAACAAUUUACCUUUAAUUCUGAGAUAUUUUUCACCAGUGUGAGAUGAAACACGUUGAAGUAGGCGACACAGACUGAUGCUGCCGUUCUUCCAUGUGCCCAGAUUUGUGCAGGGUUGUGCAGCACUCUUCUUUUCCACGGGCAGCAUGGCUCUCAGGAGUGCAGUGCAGCAGGGACCAGACAGUGAUGUGGCUGCCUGGGCUCUGGAUGCUCACCUUGGCCAAAGCAUCACAGCGCACAGAUGCCAGGUUUCGACUCCCCGUGCAGCUUUUGCCACAUUGGCACAGUGGCCCAAGAACGUGUUGGAAACACGUGCAGUAAGGAUGCUAUCCAGCUAUGCCAAACUCUGGGGUUUGAUGUUUGAGUUUUGGUACAAAAGAAAAGGAAAAUGAGGGCUGCUCUGGGACAGCCCUGCUCAGAAGUGAUGGCUGGGGUGAGGUGUUGACCCCGUGGCUCUGCAGGCUGCUGUUGUCGUACGGCUGCAGGAACAGGGCAGGCUGGCUGAGCACUGCUCAUCUACCUCAGCGCAAAGUUACUCUCCUAAUGGGUAUUUUUUUCAAAGUUCUAAGAUGUUACCUAGUUACCAUAGCCUAGUAACCAUUUAGACAGAUCAGAGCUUUUCCUUGCCACCAGGUAAGCAAGUGACUCUCAGUGAGUCCAGUGACACUGAAACCGCCCAGCUGCAAACCAGAGUGAGACUCCAUAAGAAAUUUAUUUGAAGCGUUCAGAGGAACACUGCAGUAUGAGAUGAGUUAUGAUUAGUCUUGACAAUGCUAAUUCAGUUUAAAAUAUGCUUAACUGGUUUAAAAAUAAAACUUCAGCCUCCCUUCCACUGCAACCCAGUCCUGAAGCUAUUUCGGCGCGCGUUGCCUGUCCCAUGCCUUAUUUUCUGAUUCGGCUGCGAGGUUACUAUUAAUAGCCCAGAAGCUGGGGGGAGGAAGUGCGACUACCAAGUUCUGCAAACAGUUUUAUGUGCGCUCGCUUCUCGGCUGUGGGCGAGCGGUGCCAGCCCGCCCGUGUGCCGCCGGGGUCAGCCCUGGCCACGCUGGACCACCCAUCCCUCCCCGCGCGCGUUGCUAAGAGACCUGCUCUCCUCCGCUGAGCCUCGUGGAGAGGAGCACAUCAAAGACACCCACAGCCCCGAAUGGUUUUAUAAAUGAAUUUAAAGAGACACUCUCCCGUGCUGUGUUGUGCUGGGGGGAGAUCAAAAGUUGCUCUAUGUGCGGAGAGCAGCUGGAGAAUUCAACUGGCUUCUUCUGGAAAAUAAAAGUGCUCUCAUUACUGAGAACCAUGUUGUAUUUACUUUACUUUUUUUUUUUUUUUGCUUUUUUUCAGAACUAGACUACAAAUUUAUGCUAAUUAAUGUUUUCAGUUUUAUGGCAGGCAAGACAUUGAACGCAGGCCAGGGUGCGUGUUUGUACGACUUUCAAAAGUAAGGUUUUCUGUCAUCAAGUGACAAGCUGUUUUUGAUUAACUCUCUUCAUCUCUGAAAAUAUUUCAUUCUGUAAAUUUUAAUUGCUUUUCUGACUUACAUUGAAGUU
Molecule: non-coding RNA, 6296 nt
Organism: Anas platyrhynchos (mallard)
Lineage: Eukaryota; Metazoa; Chordata; Aves; Anseriformes; Anatidae
Source: RefSeq, a predicted model, not a curated record